RNAcentral lists this long non-coding RNA (241 nucleotides) under Mytilus galloprovincialis (Mediterranean mussel). The record is from RNAcentral. Lineage: Eukaryota; Metazoa; Mollusca; Bivalvia; Mytilida; Mytilidae.
AAUAAAUCAGUGGAUGCUUACAUUGACUUGAGAGAGAUCAGAACAUUUCGAAAGAACAAUUACCCGUAUGCAACAAGAAAUAGAAUAUUUUGACAUUGUCAAAAAGUAAAAUGCAAUAACACAAACAUGUCAGUAUUCGAAGAUGAAUAAGAAUAUGAUCAUGCUAAUUAUGUUUUGUCUAUUGACAUAAUAAAAAAAAAUUGUCACCCGCUCAGCCAUGUGAUAGAGUAAAUUAACACCC